CUAAUUGGGAUCAUAUAAAAAUGAGAGAUUUAUAUGCAAGAAACUUGUGUUGUGGAAUCCAUUACAGAAUAGGUCAUCAUUAUUAUCAGGAAACCAUCAAUACCAUAGCUAGCAGAUGAGAGGCUGAAACAUCUUCGGAUCAAGCAACCAAGUGCAACAUCGCGAAACACAGAACACAAUAGGUAGCACGGUUACAAUCACAGAUAAGCAGCCAUCUCAUCAUUCUCUACGGAUCAGAGACAGGUGACCAGGCUCAUUUCUUUCCACUUUUCUUUAAACCCGAGCCUCCAAACUCCAACUGCACCCUUCUGUGCCCAACUCCUUUAGUGCCUAUUGGUGCAAAAGCCACAUACACACACAAUAAAUGACAGCAAAUUAGGAUCAUCCACCC
Molecule: long non-coding RNA, 391 nt
Filed under: Sorghum bicolor (sorghum)
Lineage: Eukaryota; Viridiplantae; Streptophyta; Magnoliopsida; Poales; Poaceae
Description: long non-coding RNA (SBIC_LNC018365)
Source: RNAcentral